UGGUACAGUCACUAUGGAAAACCAGAUGAUCCAGUAAUCCAACUUCUUGGGCAUAUGUUCAAAGGAAAUGAAAACAGGGUAUCAAAAAAGAUAUCUGGACUCCCAUGUUCAUUACAAACUUAUUCAAAAUAGCUAAGAUACGGAAAUGACACAAGCGUUUGUCAGUGGAUGGAUAGAUAAAAUUUGUGUUGUAUCUAUACAAUAGAAUAAAAUUCAGACAUGAGAAAGAACAUCCUACCAUUUGCCACAACAUGGAUAGAGUUUGAAGCAUUAUAUUAAGUGAAAUAAGUCAGAGAAAGACUGAUACUGUAUGACAUCGCUUAUAUGUAGAUUCUAAAAAUGCCGUAGAAACAGAGUAGAAUAGUGGUUACCAGGGGCUGGAGGAUUGGGGAAAAGCGGAGAUGUUGGACAGAAGAUACAAACUCCAGUUCUAAGUCAUCCUCCUAUUAUUGGAAAUUUUGUUGAAGAAACAUGGGAAGAUUUAGAAAUUUAUAAUUUGCAAUCCAGCCCUCAAAAUACCAGGAAAGUACAACUAGUCCUUCUGGGGAUGUUUUCUCAAUUCUUCUUCAGAUUUCAUAGAAGAAACCUGAGGUCUGUGAUUAAAAGAAGAAACCAAGGCUCAAGGAGAUUAAGUAAUUUGCCUACAACUGCAUCACUUAGGAGGUGAAGCCAGAGCCUGAAGAAAGCAGUUUGAAGAAGGCAACCUUCCUCCAAGUCCUUCACCUACACUUUAGAUUUAUCUUCCUUGCUAGCUUUUGAAGUGUCUGAAAAAUGGGGGACCUGGGUGGCUCAGUUGGUUGAGGGUCAUGAUCUCACAGUCUGUGAGUUUGAGCCCUACGUCGGGCUCUAUGCUGACAGCUCAGAGCCUGGAGCCUGUUUCAGAUUCUGUGUCUCCCUCUCUCUCUGACCCUCCCCCGUUCAUGCUC
This is a long non-coding RNA of Acinonyx jubatus (cheetah), 926 nucleotides long. RefSeq lists it as uncharacterized. The transcript has 4 exons. NCBI's taxonomy places the organism in Eukaryota, Metazoa, Chordata, Mammalia, Carnivora, Felidae. The record is from RefSeq and is a predicted model, not a curated record.